This 1165-nucleotide ribosomal RNA is filed under the name Shigella flexneri. Its description in RNAcentral is "partial 23S ribosomal RNA". It matches the Rfam family "Bacterial large subunit ribosomal RNA", at positions 1 to 1198 of the family's 2925-position model. Lineage: Bacteria; Pseudomonadati; Pseudomonadota; Gammaproteobacteria; Enterobacterales; Enterobacteriaceae. The record is from RNAcentral.
GGGUUGUGAGGUUAAGCGACUAAGCGUACACGGUGGAUGCCCUGGCAGUCAGAGGCGAUGAAGGACGUGCUAAUCUGCGAUAAGCGUCGGUAAGGUGAUAUGAACCGUUAUAACCGGCGAUUUCCGAAUGGGGAAACCCAGUGUGAUUCGUCACACUAUCAUUAACUGAAUCCAUAGGUUAAUGAGGCGAACCGGGGGAACUGAAACAUCUAAGUACCCCGAGGAAAAGAAAUCAACCGAGAUUCCCCCAGUAGCGGCGAGCGAACGGGGAGCAGCCCAGAGCCUGAAUCAGUGUGUGUGUUAGUGGAAGCGUCUGGAAAGGCGUGCGAUACAGGGUGACAGUCCCGUACACAAAAAUGCACAUACUGUGAGCUCGAUGAGUAGGGCGGGACACGUGGUAUCCUGUCUGAAUAUGGGGGGACCAUCCUCCAAGGCUAAAUACUCCUGACUGACCGAUAGUGAACCAGUACCGUGAGGGAAAGGCGAAAAGAACCCCGGCGAGGGGAGUGAAAAAGAACCUGAAACCGUGUACGUACAAGCAGUGGGAGCACGCUUAGGCGUGUGACUGCGUACCUUUUGUAUAAUGGGUCAGCGACUUAUAUUCUGUAGCAAGGUUAACCGAAUAGGGGAGCCGAAGGGAAACCGAGUCUUAACUGGGCGUUAAGUUGCAGGGUAUAGACCCGAAACCCGGUGAUCUAGCCAUGGGCAGGUUGAAGGUUGGGUAACACUAACUGGAGGACCGAACCGACUAAUGUUGAAAAAUUAGCGGAUGACUUGUGGCUGGGGGUGAAAGGCCAAUCAAACCGGGAGAUAGCUGGUUCUCCCCGAAAGCUAUUUAGGUAGCGCCUCGUGAAUUCAUCUCCGGGGGUAGAGCACUGUUUCGGCAAGGGGGUCAUCCCGACUUACCAACCCGAUGCAAACUGCGAAUACCGGAGAAUGUUAUCACGGGAGACACACGGCGGGUGCUAACGUCCGUCGUGAAGAGGGAAACAACCCAGACCGCCAGCUAAGGUCCCAAAGUCAUGGUUAAGUGGGAAACGAUGUGGGAAGGCCCAGACAGCCAGGAUGUUGGCUUAGAAGCAGCCAUCAUUUAAAGAAAGCGUAAUAGCUCACUGGUCGAGUCGGCCUGCGCGGAAGAUGUAACGGGGCUAAACCAUGCACCGAA